Long non-coding RNA from Prionailurus viverrinus (fishing cat), 3309 nucleotides. RefSeq lists it as uncharacterized. The record is from RefSeq and is a predicted model, not a curated record. NCBI's taxonomy places the organism in Eukaryota, Metazoa, Chordata, Mammalia, Carnivora, Felidae. The transcript has 3 exons.
GGGGGAGGAGGAGGAGGGGAGGGAGAACAAUGAGGAACCUCGUUCGGUUUCUUGAGCCAGAAGAGAGCCAGGACUGCAGGGCUGCUCAAUUGGGAAACUGGACAGGGGAUUGGAUGGGGGAAGGAGAACAGGCACAUUCCGAUCAGAGACGACAAAAUCCCGCUCACGUAUCUGAAAUGGAAAAACUAAAGUGUGAAGGGGACACAACCCUCCCCCUUCAGAAGGAGCUGGGGCCCAGAUUGUGGCCUAAAUCCUUAAUAGGUCUAUUAUUUCAUGGUCAUAAAUGGAUCCCUUAUUCUGGUUACAGCCUGAAAAUGACCACUUGGGGUCUGAGCAGGAAUUCAAAUUUCUAUUUUGCUGUAGAGCCGUUAAAAGAAUGAACUUGGGGUCAGGCGCCCCUCGGUCUGAAUCCUGGCUCUGACCCUCAUUCGCUGAGUGGCCUUGCCCAAAUAAUUCAACCUCUCUGACCCUGAGCCUCUUUGUUAGGGAAAUGGGAGACUAAAUGAGAUCCAGGGGGCAAGCUGCCAGAAGGGCCCUGUGUGUCCAGGCUUCAAAACUGGCAGAGUUCACAUCCCUGCUGUGCCAGUUACUGGUGGUGUGACCUUGGGUGAGUCACUAAGUCACCCAAUCCCUAGGCCUCAGUGUCCUCCUCAAGUCCCUGUGUUGGCUCUGUCUGUCAGGCAGUUAGAAUAGGGGCUGGCUCCUAAUAAGCUCUGAGUUCAGCCGAUUUAGUAAUCUCUUGACUCCAUGCGUGGUGUGGCGGGAUAUGUGGCGGGUAUAGCAGCAACCAUGACAUCAUUGUCUAGGAUAUUAUUAUCUAGGCUUGGCAUCAGGAAGGGAGAGGCCAGCUGUCCUCAUUAGAGUGUCCUAGUAGCAAAAAAAAAAAAAGUUCGCCGCCCCUGCCCUAGAGCCUUAUAUCACUGACUGCUAGAAAUGGGGUCUUUUUGAAGAAAUACAGAGUCUCAGGCUCAUUCUAGAUUUACUGAAUCAGCAUCCGCAUUUUAACAAGAACCCCAGGUGAUUGUGUAGAUGUUAAGUCUCGUGAAGCAGCGAACUAAAGCACCUAGGGGGGAGGGAUCAGAUGUAUUCCUGGCGUUCCCUAUGAGGUGGUACCCUCCUGCGAAGCCCUGGCACCCUUCGUGCAGCCUUUACCCCUGUUACCAUUGCCAAUGUACUUGACUGUCUCCCUUGCUAGCUUGUGGGAAACUUGGGGCCAAAUCUGCCUCAGCUACCACUGAGAGAUGGUAUGUGCGGUGAUGAAGAACGCUGGCUUUGGACCUGGACUGUGGCACCCUGAUCCCACCUCUGUCGCUUACUAGCUGUGACUGUGGGAUCAACGGUUGGAGGAGGGAAAUGAGAGGAUCUCCGUACUAAGUCCUUGGCUUCUACUUCCAUGUACCCUUCUCGAGGUAAUUGGAAAUGCGGAUUUCUGAUUCUCUGCCCUCCCAGGCAGUGCAGCCACCAGGGAAUAGCACGCAGCAUGUUACAAAUGGCAGAGAAUGUUCGAGGCACACCAUUUCUGGACAAAAACACUGACUGCAGAAGGAUAAUGAAAGCAUCUUACAGAGGGCUGCAUCGGUGUCUAUGAUCUUGAAUCGUCCUGGCAAGCUUGGACGCCUCUCUGCCUCCUAACCUGAGACAGUGGUAACUCUGGACCUGGUUUCCCCCAAGAACUUUGAGCUGAGGUUUCCUUACUGGGUCCUCUGCCUGGUGGUGAGAACUUUGAGGGUCAUUAUACUAUGUUAUUCAUCGCUGUGUUCACGGAGCUUUGGCCAGGGCCUGACACAUAGUAGGUAUCAGUAAAUGUCAAUGUGAAUUGAAUUUAGCAAGGAUCUGCAGCUCUGCAAAGACAGGACACUUCUUAGAAACCACUGUGGGAUAAAUUGAGGGGCAGGGACUGGAAGAUAAGGAUUCUGAAGUAAUGACAGUAAUAGUUUGUCAGCCUCUGAGCAAGGCCCAUAACGUGCAUUAUCCAUCAUCCCCACAUUACAGAUGAGGAAACUGAAGCCUCAGUGAAGUAACUUGCUAAAGAUCAAACAACUCAUUAAUCAGUACAUAGUGGAGCCAGAUGAAUGCACUUUUUUUUUUCCUAUUUCCUUCAUUUACUCCACUAAUGAUAGUACUUAGACUGGAGACUAGAAAUUAAAAUCCAGGUAAUCUGACAUGAGAGGGCAGAAUCUUUGUGUUUGAAAUGCCUGCAAGUUCGUAGAGUGGAAGCAGCAGUCUUGUGGUGCUCCAGUAAAUGGGAGGAGCCAUGAGCAGGUGGAUGUUAACUCAUUGUGAGAACUUUCCAAUAAUGAAAGCGGGGUCACAUGGAAUCAAUGGAUGCUAUUGAAUAACUUUAAAAAAUUGUGUUCCAGGGAAUUUUAGACUUAUAUCCCUGGGGGAAAAAUAGUAUGAGCAAGGUAGAGAAUUCUGAUAUCAAAUAGUUUGAGAAGCCAUAUCCAAUGUUCCUUCUUGAAGAUCACAAUGCACCUUAGCCCAUGAAGUACUCAGAGACAUCCUGAGACAGGAAUGAUUGACUUUCUUGAACCCAGUGUUUCCCACAUUUAUUUGACUAGUGAACGUGUGUUUCAAGUAAUGUUUUUAACAUUCCGUGGAACUACUAUUACACUGAAACUCUGCUGGGGAAGAUGGGCCUGGAACACACCCUCGGUGCUCCUUCCUGCCCUGUGCUCCAGUGAGUAUGCUGUGGAGCUCUGUGACACAAAAGUCCCACUUAGCCAAUUUGUAAUGAUUUCCUAAAUUGGACAAAUAACCUCAUCCAAAUGGCCGGGGUGAUAAGCUCCCAGGAGGAGAAGGUGGCUGAGGAAGCGCUAUGUACCUGGCUGCACGUGGGUACCUCCAGUAAGGAGGUGCUGAUAGCAAUGUUUUUCUUGGGUGUUUGAAUUUUUCAUCCCACAUUUAUGUCUUAAACCACAGAUAAAAUUCACAUCCACAUUUCACUCAAGAUAAACCUAACAUAAUAAUAAUACAAAAAGAUUAAUUCUUUGGGGAAAAAUAGAGGGGAACAUGGCCUCAGCUUAGAAAGAGUCAACACUCAAGACUUGGAGAAUGCGUUUUCUGCAGGACUGCACUCCACACCGGCGUGGGAAACUGUGUGCAGUGCUCUUUAGCACACGCAUGUCUGUGCAUGUGCCAUAACACGCUGCCAUUCACAUACCCACAAGUGUGACUGCCAGAGGUCCACUUUGAAAGCCCCUAACCUCAAGGUCCAGCCCACCACUUCGGACUCACUGUAGUCUUUUCUCUGAAGUCUUUCCUGACCAUGUAGGCAUAACUAACUUUUCUCUUCUACAUCAUCUUGGA